GCCGGGGUGGCGGAAUUGGCAUACGCGACAGCUUGAGGGGCUGUGAUCCUUAUGGAUCGUGGAGGUUCGAGUCCUCUCCUCGGCA
This 85-nucleotide transfer RNA is filed under the name bacterium (Candidatus Torokbacteria) CG_4_10_14_0_2_um_filter_35_8. RNAcentral's name for it is "tRNA-Leu". It matches the Rfam family "tRNA". From Rfam's summary of the family: Transfer RNA (tRNA) molecules are approximately 80 nucleotides in length. Their secondary structure includes four short double-helical elements and three loops (D, anti-codon, and T loops). The record is from RNAcentral.